Molecule: non-coding RNA, 1311 nt
Organism: Oncorhynchus mykiss (rainbow trout)
Lineage: Eukaryota; Metazoa; Chordata; Actinopteri; Salmoniformes; Salmonidae
Source: RefSeq, a predicted model, not a curated record
CUAGGCCUAUGUGACAAUACUUCCUCAUUUAGGUUUAGUCAUUUGUCAAAGUAUGGCGACUGUGUAUUUCACCCUCGCUAUUCUACUAACUCUCCUCCAUCAUUCAGAGCCCAGUGCUGAGACCUCUGUGUUUGUGCUGAAGGGACAGGAUGUUCGCCUGAAUGUCCAGACAAAUGUUACACUGAAAGAAGAUGUCGAUGUGCUAUUUUGGAAGUUUAACAGAUCAGUCAAUGUUGUAAAGUACCCACCAAAAGUUACCUUUGAAAGGUACCGAGGUAGGGCUGAAUUUAGUGAGGGAGACUUCUCUCUGCUACUGAAGAACCUCCAGGAAGAAGACAGUGGACUUUAUGAUGCAGUAGUGUCUGGUAACAAUGAAAGAAACGUUGCUAAAUACUUGAUAAAAGUCCAAGCAGAGGAACUAUCGUGGGAGGAAGUGGACGACAACUCCGAUGUCAAAGUCUGGAUACCUGUCGGCGUCAUCAUCAUAGUUGGAUUAUUCGUCCUGAUUAGCAUUGUUCUUUGGCGAAAGAUAAAUGAAGGUGACAAAGAGGAAAUGAUAAACACAGAGUAUGCUACAGUCAGGGUAAGAUACUGUACCUUAGCUUCUGUCAUUUAAAAAACUAGAAUGUUAUUGGAAAAUGUUGUUACGUUCCCCAGUUUCUGUGUGGUAGUUUGUGUAUUUGAGUGUGUUUCAGGAGAUGGCUUCCUGAAAUCCCCUGAUUGGUCGACUCCAUGGCUAAUUGGAGAGCUGACCCCGCCCCCUCAUCAAGACGCAGCUGUCUCCAAUUACUAAUUUCUUCUGAAGCUAUAUAAAAGCCAGGGUUCUGUUCAGAAGUGAGAUCAUUGCAGGCUGAGAUCAUUGCAGAAAGAUUGAUUGUGAUUUAGAGAGAGCAUAGCUGAGAGAGGAGGCUGAGGGUCAUAUUAUGUUUGUUGUUUCUGAGAGUGAUACAGGCAGUUGGUUUGUACUGUGUUAGUUUGUUGCAUUAUCAGAUAGAGCUUAUUUGAUGUCCUUUGUUUCUUAGUUUGUUCGUGAACUUGUUUAAUAUUCUGUUUCUUUUUUUCCCAGGGGGAAGGGGAAGGCACCUAGGGAGUGCUUAGGCAAGAGGCCUGCGGGCAUACAUAUACCCGUAGUAUAUUCACUGUCUAGGCACACUAGGUAAGACCUGGGCGGACCACCCCCUGUAUUUUGGUUAGGGCACCAGGUGGUGCUAAGUUAGAUAGGUGGUGGGUAGGCAGGUUAGAUAGGAGAGGGGGGGCUUUGACAUUUACUUUAUUUGCUUUGGUUCCGUCCAGCCCCUUUUCCCCAUAUUA